GGGGAAUAUUGGGCAAUGGGCGAAAGCCUGACCCAGCAACGCCGCGUGAAGGAAGAAGGCCCUCGGGUUGUAAACUUCUUUUGUCAGGGACGAAGCAAGUGACGGUACCUGACGAAUAAGCCACGGCUAACUACGUGCCAGCAGCCGCGGUAAUACGUAGGUGGCAAGCGUUAUCCGGAUUUACUGGGUGUAAAGGGCGUGUAGGCGGGAGUGCAAGUCAGAUGUGAAAACUAUGGGCUCAACCCAUAGCCUGCAUUUGAAACUGUACUUCUUGAGUGAUGGAGAGGCAGGCGGAAUUCCCUGUGUAGCGGUGAAAUGCGUAGAUAUAGGGAGGAACACCAGUGGCGAAGGCGGCCUGCUGGACAUUAACUGACGCUGAGGCGCGAAAGCGUGGGGAGCAAACAGGAUUAGAUACCCUGGUAGUCCACGCCGUAAACGAUGGAUACUAGGUGUGGGGGGUCUGACCCCCUCCGUGCCGCAGUUAACACAAUAAGUAUCCCACCUGGGGAGUACGAUCGCAAGGUUGAAACUCAAAGGAAUUGACGGGGGCCCGCACAAGCGGUGGAGUAUGUGGUUUAAUUCGAAGCAACGCGAAGAACCUUACCAGGACUUGACAUCCUACUAACGAAGCAGAGAUGCAUAAGGUGCCCUUCGGGGAAAGUAGAGACAGGUGGUGCAUGGUUGUCGUCAGCUCGUGUCGUGAGAUGUUGGGUUAAGUCCCGCAACGAGCGCAACCCUUAUUGUUAGUUGCUACGCAAGAGCACUCUAGCGAGACUGCCGUUGACAAAACGGAGGAAGGUGGGGACGACGUCAAAUCAUCAUGCCCCUUAUGUCCUGGGCCACACACGUACUACAAUGGCGGUCAACAGAGGGAAGCAAAGCCGCGAGGUGGAGCAAAUCCCUAAAAGCCGUCCCAGUUCGGAUUGCAGGCUGAAACUCGCCUGUAUGAAGUCGGAAUCGCUAGUAAUCGCGGAUCAGCAUGCCGCGGUGAAUACGUUCCCG
RNAcentral lists this ribosomal RNA (1002 nucleotides) under uncultured bacterium. RNAcentral describes it as "bacterial SSU rRNA". It matches the Rfam family "Bacterial small subunit ribosomal RNA", at positions 356 to 1376 of the family's 1533-position model. The record is from RNAcentral.